This 253-nucleotide ribosomal RNA is filed under the name uncultured bacterium. RNAcentral's name for it is "partial 16S ribosomal RNA". It matches the Rfam family "Bacterial small subunit ribosomal RNA", at positions 524 to 776 of the family's 1533-position model. The record is from RNAcentral.
UACGUAGGGUCCGAGCGUUGUCCGGAAUUAUUGGGCGUAAAGAGCUCGUAGGCGGUUUGUCGCGUCUGCUGUGAAAUCCCGAGGCUCAACCUCGGGCCUGCAGUGGGUACGGGCAAACUAGAGUGUUGCAGGGGAGACUGGAAUUCCUGGUGUAGCGGUGAAAUGCGCAGAUAUCAGGAGGAACACCGGUGGCGAAGGCGGGUCUCUGGGCAACAACUGACGCUGAGGAGCGAAAGCGUGGGGAGCGAACAGG